GGAAGCAGCAGUGAGGAAUUUUUCACAAUGGACGAAAGUCUGAUGGAGCAAUACCACGUGAACGAUGAAGGUCUUCUGAUUGUAAAGUUCUUUUAUUUAGGAAAAAAAGCGCGCUAGGAAAUGAGCGCGCCUUGAUGGUACUAAUUGAAUAAGUGACAGCUAACUAUGUGCCAGCAGCUGCGGUAAAACAUAGGUCACGAGCAUUAUCCGGAUUUAUUGGGCGUAAAGGAAGCGUAGGCGGGGAGGUUGAUCCAUUGUUAAAGGCAUUUGCUUAACAAAUGUGUGCAUUGGAGAUCGCCUCCCUAGAGUUAAUCAGGGGGUACUGGAAUUCAAUGUGUAGCGGUGGAAUGCGUAGAUAUAUUGAGGAACACCAGAGGCUAAGGCGAGUACCUAGGAUAUAACUGACGCUGAGGCUUGAAAGCGUGGGGAGCAAAUGGGAUUAGAUACCCCAGUAGUCCACGCCGUAAACGAUGAGCAUUGGGCAUUUGACAUCUGGUCGAGUGCUGUAGCUAACGCGUUAAAUGCUCCGCCUGGGUAGUAUAUAUGCAAAUAUGAAACUCAAAGAAAUUGACGGGGACCUGAACAAGUGGUGGAGCA
RNAcentral lists this ribosomal RNA (597 nucleotides) under Mycoplasma wenyonii. RNAcentral describes it as "bacterial SSU rRNA". It matches the Rfam family "Bacterial small subunit ribosomal RNA", at positions 344 to 939 of the family's 1533-position model. The record is from RNAcentral. Lineage: Bacteria; Bacillati; Mycoplasmatota; Mollicutes; Mycoplasmatales; Mycoplasmataceae.